UGGGAUGUUCAACUUUGGUUCCAAGUUAAGAGUCAUUAGCAUGCAAGAAAACGUUAAAGAACCAAAGAAAAUACACAGCAUGAUGUUUGCAUAGCAUUCUCUUCAUUCAUUCACAUGUCUAACAAGAUUAAGCAUGAUGUUUACUAUAACCUUGUCUAGAUAAUCUGUAGGCGACUCUAAUGGUGAUCAAACAUUAAAAUUGACAAACAAAUUGAACAAUAGAUUCAGUGAAUGAAACAAGAUACAGAUUGAUGAACUGAAUACUUUAACUUAGAAACAUGGAUCAAUGUUGCAAGGCUACAUCGAAAUCCC
This 312-nucleotide long non-coding RNA is filed under the name Prunus persica (peach). RNAcentral's name for it is "long non-coding RNA (PPER_LNC005300)". The record is from RNAcentral. Lineage: Eukaryota; Viridiplantae; Streptophyta; Magnoliopsida; Rosales; Rosaceae.